This 439-nucleotide ribosomal RNA is filed under the name uncultured bacterium. RNAcentral describes it as "bacterial SSU rRNA". It matches the Rfam family "Bacterial small subunit ribosomal RNA", at positions 28 to 479 of the family's 1533-position model. The record is from RNAcentral.
GACGAACGCCGGCGGCGUGCUUAAUACAUGCAAGUCAACUUGACUUUAGAUAGCAAUAUCGAAAAGUAGGGUGGCGCACGGUGCGUAACGCGUAGGUAAUCUGCCCUGAGGUCUGACAUAACCCGUCGAAAGGCGGGCUAACAUCAGAUGAUAUAUAAUCACGACAUCGUGGAAAUAUCAAAUCUUCGGAGCCUUGGGAUGAGCCUGCGUCUGAUUAGGUAGUUGGCGGAGUAAUAGCCCACCAAGCCUACGAUCAGUAGCUGGUCUGAGAGGAUGAUCAGCCACACUGGAACUGAGACACGGUCCAGACUCCUACGGGAGGCAGCAGUAAGGAAUAUUGCACAAUGGGGGAAACCCUGAUGCAGCAACGCCGCGUGAGUGAUGACGGCCUUCGGGUUGUAAAGGCUCUGUCUUCUAGGGACGAGUAAUAGACGGUACC